GAUGAACGCUAGCGGCAGGCCUAAUACAUGCAAGUCGAACGGUUGUAGUGAUACAAUAGUGGCGCACGGGUGCGUAACACGUAUGCAACCUACCUUAUAGACGGGGAUAGCCUUUGGAAACGGAGAUUAAUACCCGAUAGUAACCUUGAUUGGCAUCAAUUAAUGUUUAAAGAUUUAUCGCUAUAAGCUGGGCAUGCGUCCAAUUAGUUAGUUGGUUAGGUAAUGGCUGACCAAGACGAUGAUUGGUAGGGGAACUGAGAGGUUAAUCCCCCACACUGGCACUGAGAUACGGGCCAGACUCCUACGGGAGGCAGCAGUAGGGAAUAUUGGGCAAUGGAGGCAACUCUGACCCAGCCAUGCCGCGUGCAGGAUGAAGGCGUUAUGCGUUGUAAACUGCUUUUAUAUAGGAAGAAAUAGACCUUGCGAGGUAAGUUGACGGUACUAUAUGAAUAAGCACCGGCUAACUCCGUGCCAGCAGCCGCGGUAAUACGGAGGGUGCAAGCGUUGUCCGGAUUUAUUGGGUUUAAAGGGUGCGUAGGCGGUUUAUUAAGUCAGUGGUGAAAGACGGUCGCUCAACGAUUGCAGUGCCAUUGAUACUGGUAGACUUGAGUGAGAUUGAGGUAGCUGGAAUGGAUAGUGUAGCGGUGAAAUGCAUAGAUAUUAUCCAGAACACCAAUUGCGUAGGCAAGUUACUAAGUCUCAACUGACGCUGAGGCACGAAAGUGUGGGUAUCAAACAGGAUUAGAUACCCUGGUAGUCCACACUGUAAACGAUGAUAACUAACUGUUGGCUUUCGGGUCAGUGGUACAGAGAAAUCGUUAAGUUAUCCACCUGGGGAGUACGCCGGCAACGGUG
RNAcentral lists this ribosomal RNA (855 nucleotides) under uncultured bacterium. RNAcentral describes it as "bacterial SSU rRNA". It matches the Rfam family "Bacterial small subunit ribosomal RNA", at positions 28 to 896 of the family's 1533-position model. The record is from RNAcentral.